AGCGAACGUUAGCGGCGGGCCUAACACAUGCAAGUCGAGGGAGAAAGUGGCUUCGGCCAUGAGUAAACCGGCGGACGGGUGAGUAACACGUGGGUAAUGUACCUAUCGGCGGGGGAUAACAGUCCGAAAGGAUUGCUAAUACCGCAUACGCCAGUCGGAGCUCCGGCUCUGAUUGGGAAAGGUGGCCUCUCGGCGAAGCUGCCACCGAUAGAUCAGCCCGCGUCCCAUCAUGCUAGUUGGUGAGGUAAUGGCUCACCAAGGCGUAGACGGGUAGCUG
Molecule: ribosomal RNA, 277 nt
Filed under: uncultured bacterium
Lineage: Bacteria
Description: partial 16S ribosomal RNA
Rfam family: Bacterial small subunit ribosomal RNA
Source: RNAcentral